Long non-coding RNA from Vidua macroura (Pin-tailed whydah), 179 nucleotides. RefSeq lists it as uncharacterized. Lineage: Eukaryota; Metazoa; Chordata; Aves; Passeriformes; Viduidae. The transcript has 4 exons. The record is from RefSeq and is a predicted model, not a curated record.
UGUUUUAGGCAGUCCUCUUGCGAAAUGUCUCUGAUCCCAGAUGUCUGAGGCCAGGUGUCAUUGCUGCCCUAGGCGUGUGAAGGAACAGAGUCAAGCGGGUAUCCUCCUGGCAGCCUGUUGAGUCGCAUCAAGAUUUCAGGUACCGUGAGGAGGCGCAUAGCUGAAGUUUGGAAACGGCG